UCGGGAAUUUUGGGCAAUGGGCGAAAGCCUGACCCAGCAACGCCGCGUGAAGGAUGAAGUAUUUCGGUAUGUAAACUUCGUAAGAAUAGGAAGAAUAAAUGACGGUACUAUUUGUAAGGUCCGGCUAACUACGUGCCAGCAGCCGCGGUAAUACGUAGGGUGCAGGCGUUAAUCGGAAUUACUGGGCGUAAAGCGUGCGCAGGCGGCUCCUUAAGUCAGAUGUGAAAGCCCCGGGCUUAACCUGGGAACUGCGUUUGAAACUGGGGAGCUAGAGUGUAGAAGAGGGGGGUGGAAUUCCAGGUGUAGCAGUGAAAUGCGUAGAGAUCUGGAGGAACACCGAUGGCGAAGGCAGCCCCCUGGGCUAACACUGACGCUCAUGCACGAAAGCGUGGGGAGCAAACAGGAUUAGAUACCCAAGUAGUCCCUGAGCGGGCUGGCAAGGCGCAU
Molecule: ribosomal RNA, 447 nt
Filed under: uncultured bacterium
Lineage: Bacteria
Description: bacterial SSU rRNA
Rfam family: Bacterial small subunit ribosomal RNA
Source: RNAcentral